CAAUAAGUAUCCCGCCUGUGGAGCAUGCACGCAAGUGUGAAACAUAAAGGAAUUGACGGGGGCCCGCACAAGCGGUGGAGUAUGUGGUUUAAUUCGACGCAACGCGAAGAACCUUACCAGGCCUUGACAUCCCUUGCAAAGUCAUAGAGAUAUGAUAGAGGUUAUCAAGGAGACAGGUGGUGCAUGGUUGUCGUCAGCUCGUGUCGUGAGAUGUUGGGUUAAGUCCCGCAACGAGCGCAACCCUUGUUUCUAGUUACCAUCAUUAAGUUGGGGACUCUAGAGAGACUGCCGGUGAUAAACCGGAGGAAGGUGGGGAUGACGUCAAAUCAUCAUGCCCCUUAUGGCCUGGGCUACACACGUACUACAAUGGCUGUUACAACAAGCAGCGACAUAGUGAUAUGAAGCAAAUCUUUGAAAAACAGUCUCAGUUCGGAUUGAAGUCUGCAACUCGACUUCAUGAAGUUGGAAUCGCUAGUAAUCGCGGAUCAGCAUGCCGCGGUGAAUACGUUCUCGGGCCUUGUACACACCGCCCGUCAAACCAUGAGAGUUGGUAAUACCCGAAGCCGGUGGCCUAACGAGCGAUCGAGGGAGCUGUCGAAGGUAGGACCGAUGAUUGGGGUUAAGUCGUAACAAGGUAACC
This 640-nucleotide ribosomal RNA is filed under the name uncultured bacterium. Its description in RNAcentral is "bacterial SSU rRNA". It matches the Rfam family "Bacterial small subunit ribosomal RNA", at positions 858 to 1501 of the family's 1533-position model. The record is from RNAcentral.